Molecule: ribosomal RNA, 261 nt
Filed under: Triticum aestivum (bread wheat)
Lineage: Eukaryota; Viridiplantae; Streptophyta; Magnoliopsida; Poales; Poaceae
Description: partial small subunit ribosomal RNA
Source: RNAcentral
CUAAUCCGAGCGACAUUUAUCACACCAGACGCAGAGGCAAUUCUCAAUAUUCCACUUCGUCAGGGUGGCGGGGAGGACUUCCUUGCUUGGGCACAUGAAAGAUCCGGCAUCUAUUUCGUUAAAAAAGCCUACCGAGCUCUAAUGAAUCAGAACGAGCGCUUAGCUCUAGAAGAAGGGCAGGUAGCGGGGCCAUCAACGAAUGAGGAGCAGAUGUGGAGUCACCUAUGGAAACUCAAAGUUGUCACAAAAGUUAGGGUAUUC